This 330-nucleotide ribosomal RNA is filed under the name uncultured eukaryote. RNAcentral's name for it is "partial 18S ribosomal RNA". It matches the Rfam family "Eukaryotic small subunit ribosomal RNA", at positions 1470 to 1796 of the family's 1831-position model. The record is from RNAcentral.
CCCUUAGAUGUUCGGGGCCGCACGCGCGCUACACUGAAGGAAUCAGCACGUCUUUCUCCUUGUCCGAAAGGACUGGGUAACCCGCUGAACCUCCUUCGUGCUAGGGAUUGGGGCUUGUAAUUCUUCCCCAUGAACGAGGAAUUCCCAGUAAGCGCGAGUCAUAAGCUCGCGUUGAUUACGUCCCUGCCCUUUGUACACACCGCCCGUCGCUACUACCGAUUGGAUGGUUUAGUGAGAUCCUCGAAUUGGUCCCGGCGCGGCCUCUGGUCGUGCCGGAGUGCCGAAAAGAAUGUCGAACUUGAUCAUCUAGAGGAAGUAAAAGUCGUAACA